CUCUGCUCAGGUGCAAGGGGCCCCGAGGCCGCCCUGUCCUGCCCCCUCCCCAGGGAGAGUGAGCCUGCUCUGGGCUGCGGUCAGAGCUGCCCGAGGGCUAGCCUGGGACCCCUUGCCCGGGGCUGUCCCUGGAAGGGGCUGGGGCCGCACCUCGUGUUCCGGUCCUGGUCUCGGAUCUUCUUCUCCAUCUCGGCGUCCGUCAGGGUCUCCAGCAGCGGGCACCACUGGUCAGCGUCCCCCGUGUUCCGGAUGGCAAUCUCCACCGUGGGCAGGGGGUUCUCGCUGUGGAAGAUGGGAGAGGUAGACGGCUCGCAGAGCAGCUGCAGGAGAGGCCCCCAGAAAGCAGUGUCCACCCCCCGCAGGCAGACAGGACGUGGAGCCUGGUUUCUGCGCCCGGCUCCCGACACAGGGUGGCCGGGCACGCUGCCAACAUUGCAUCUCAGAUCUGCACGGGGGGAGGGGUCCACAGGACAGUGCUGCGGGCCCAGCCAUUCCCAGUGGGCCUGCAGGGAGGAGGAGGGCUGUCCGCCCCGCUCAGCGUCCAGGAGAAAGGAGAGCGAAGGAGUCCAUCCACCCAGGAGUGGGGUCCCAGGGCCCCUGCCCUGACCAGCCCGCAGGGGGCUCCUCGGCCCACGUCACCAGGCCCAGAAGCCAUAAGCCCUGACUGCUCCACGCCGGGGCCCGACAAAGAUGCGCCCAGACUCCAUCCGAGGAGUCUGCACACCCUCUGGCGAAGUGGACUCAGGGCUGGGGAUCAGCCUCAGUGAGGCGCUGCCUCUGCCUGGAGAGCCAGGCCCAGCCCGCCGCCCCAGGAGUCAGCCUGCCGGGAGCCCUACAGAGUCAGCCCCCAGAGGGAGGGUGGGGGUCCCCAGGGGACAGCACAGGAAAAAACAGGCCCCUGGCCUUAGUUUUAACUCCUCAUCUGGAAAAUGGGGACAGUGUCCUUGCUGCGAGGAGUUUCAGAGGACCACUGCCACCAAACAGCCAGCACACACCCACUGCGUGGGGGGCUCGGCCCAAGCCUGUGAGGGGACCCCCUCCGAGUCCCCCUGCUGCACAGCAGUGAGAGGUGCAUUCUGA
Molecule: long non-coding RNA, 1080 nt
Filed under: Ovis aries (sheep)
Lineage: Eukaryota; Metazoa; Chordata; Mammalia; Artiodactyla; Bovidae
Description: lncRNA (ENSOARG00000025702.1)
Source: RNAcentral